Molecule: ribosomal RNA, 350 nt
Filed under: uncultured bacterium
Lineage: Bacteria
Description: bacterial SSU rRNA
Rfam family: Bacterial small subunit ribosomal RNA
Source: RNAcentral
UUAGAGUUUGAUCCUGGCUCAGGACGAACGCUGGCGGCGUGCUUAACACAUGCAAGUCGAGCGGAAAGGCCCUUCGGGGUACUCGAGCGGCGAACGGGUGAGUAACACGUGAGUAAUCUGCCCCUAGCUCUGGGAUAGCUCCGGGAAACCGGGAUUAAUACCGGAUACGACCUCUGAGGGCAUCCUCCGGAGGUGGAAAAGAUUCUGGCUAGGGAUGGGCCCGCGGCCUAUCAGCUUGUUGGUGGGGUAAUGGCCCACCAAGGCGACGACGGGUAGCCGGCCUGAGAGGGCGACCGGCCACACUGGGACUGAGACACGGCCCAGACUCCUACGGGAGGCAGCAGUGGGGA